UAUAAAGCAAGAGAAUCCGCCGACAAUUGCCUGUGCUUACUGGUUUCUGACAUUAACCUGCGAAUGGUGCAACUGCAGUCAGAGAGGCAAACUCCGGAAUGACUGUUCCUUGCGAUUCCGACAGUAAUAAAGUGGAGUAAUAAAAACCCCUAACGCUGUGAGCGGAUCUACGCGGUAACAGGUUGCUGCAGACAAACUUUUUGGUCUCGAUGUCAAUUUUAAACUCGAGGAUGGCAUGGUAGUCCUCAGCUUGAUCCAGAACCGGACAGCUCCAAGCGGACUCAUCUCUUUCCAUACAAGUUGGCUACAUGUUGUGACCAGCCUCCUAACAUUUGUUUCGCUGUGAUGAUGUCAUCUGCUGAAGAAUGAAGGACUCACAAUGAAAAUUUAAAAAGAAAAUCUGAGCUGUAACCACAAAUUAAAUGCCGUAUUAUAG
Long non-coding RNA from Conger conger (European conger), 436 nucleotides. RefSeq lists it as uncharacterized. The transcript has 2 exons. Lineage: Eukaryota; Metazoa; Chordata; Actinopteri; Anguilliformes; Congridae. The record is from RefSeq and is a predicted model, not a curated record.